This 72-nucleotide transfer RNA is filed under the name Chloroflexota bacterium. RNAcentral describes it as "Chloroflexi bacterium tRNA-Lys". It matches the Rfam family "tRNA". From Rfam's summary of the family: Transfer RNA (tRNA) molecules are approximately 80 nucleotides in length. The record is from RNAcentral. Lineage: Bacteria; Bacillati; Chloroflexota. RNAcentral also lists the same sequence under 1 other name.
GCCUCCGUAGCUCAAUGGCAGAGCAAUGGACUCUUAAUCCACAGGUUGCAGGUUCGAGUCCUGCCGGGGGCA